GACGAACGCUGGCGGCGUGCUUAACACAUGCAAGUCGAACGGAAAGGCCCUGCUUUUGUGGGGUGCUCGAGUGGCGAACGGGUGAGUAACACGUGAGUAAACUGCCCUUGACUUUGGGAUAACUUCAGGAAACUGGGGCUAAUACCGGGUAGGAGCUCCUGCUGCAUGGUGGGGGUUGGAAAGUUUCGGCGGUUGGGGAUGGACGCGCGGCUUAUCAGCUUGUUGGUGGGGUAGUGGCUUACCAAGGCUUUGACGGGUAGCCGGCCUGAGAGCGUGACCGGCGACAUUGGUACUGAGAUACGGCCCAGACUCCUACGGGAGGCAGCAGUGGGGAAUAUUGCACAAUGGGCGGAAGCCUGAUGCAGCAACGCCGCGUGCGGGAUGACGGCCUUCGAGUGGUAAACCGCUUUCUCCUGUGACGAAGCGUUAGUGACGGUAAUGGGUAAAGAAGCACCGGCUAACUACGUG
This 468-nucleotide ribosomal RNA is filed under the name uncultured bacterium. Its description in RNAcentral is "partial 16S ribosomal RNA". It matches the Rfam family "Bacterial small subunit ribosomal RNA", at positions 28 to 507 of the family's 1533-position model. The record is from RNAcentral.